GUCUGUGUGAUAUUAAAUAUAAAGUCUAGCCUGCCCACUGAUUCUUAAAGGGCUGCGGUAAUUUGACCGUGCAAAGGUAGCAUAAUCAGUAGUCUCUUAAUUGGAGGCUUGUAUGAACGGUUGGAUGAGAGAUAAGCUGUCUUCUUUAUAAUUUAAAACUUGACUUUUAAGUGAAAAGGCUUAAAUUAGAUAGGGGGACGAUAAGACCCUAUAAAACUUUAUACGUUACCCUAUUCAUCUUUGAAGUUUAGAUAAAUUAUAGUGAAUGGGGGGGUGUAUUUCGUUGGGGAGACGUUGAUAUAAUCUGUAACUGUCUAAUUGAAAAAUAUAAAUAUAAUUAGUACAUGAUCCUUCUUUGUGGAUAAAAAGAUUAAGUUACUUUAGGGAUAACAGCGUAAUUCUUUUUGAGAGUUCUUAUCGAAGAAAGUAGUUGCGACCUCGAUGUUGAAUUAAAAUUUCUGUUAGGUGUAGCCGCUUAAUUAGUAGGUCUGUUCGACCUUUAAAAUUUUACAUGAUUUGAGUUCAAACCGGU
Molecule: ribosomal RNA, 532 nt
Filed under: Palaemon turcorum
Lineage: Eukaryota; Metazoa; Arthropoda; Malacostraca; Decapoda; Palaemonidae
Description: partial 16S ribosomal RNA
Rfam family: Bacterial large subunit ribosomal RNA
Source: RNAcentral